CCUACGGGGGGCAGCAGUGAGGAAUAUUGGUCAAUGGCCGGAAGCCUGAACCAGCCAAGCCGCGUGAAGGACGAAGGUGCUAAGCAUUGUAAACUUCUUUUGUCAAGGGACAAAAUCAGGCUCGAGAGCCUGACCGAGGGUACUUGAAGAAAAAGCAUCGGCUAACUCCGUGCCAGCAGCCGCGGUAAUACGGAGGAUGCGAGCGUUAUCCGGAUUUAUGGGGUUUAAAGGGUGCGUAGGCGGGCUGUUAAGUCAGCGGUAAAAGCCCGGGGCUCAACCCCGGCGAGCCGUUGAAACUGGCUGUCUUGAGAUGUCGAGAGGUAUGCGGAAUGCGCAGUGUAGCGGUGAAAUGCUUAGAUAUUGCGAAGAACUCCGAUUGCGAAGGCAGCAUACCGGCGGCGAUCUGACGUUGAGGCACGAAAGCGUGGGUAUCGAACAGGAUUAGAUACCCUUGUAGUC
RNAcentral lists this ribosomal RNA (459 nucleotides) under uncultured bacterium. RNAcentral's name for it is "partial 16S ribosomal RNA". It matches the Rfam family "Bacterial small subunit ribosomal RNA", at positions 338 to 795 of the family's 1533-position model. The record is from RNAcentral.